Molecule: long non-coding RNA, 208 nt
Filed under: Gossypium barbadense (sea-island cotton)
Lineage: Eukaryota; Viridiplantae; Streptophyta; Magnoliopsida; Malvales; Malvaceae
Description: long non-coding RNA (GBAR_LNC006202)
Source: RNAcentral
GGAAAGGCUUUAUACUUUAUCCGCUGAACAGCACCGUCAACCAAGACUUGAGAAACCAGGGGCUUCUCGAGAUUUUUGAACACAGAAAGACGAGUAAAGUGUCCCCUGGUUCUAUUUUCCGUCUGGAAAUCCAACUUUACAACCUUCCCAAUAUGUCCCCCAAUAGCCUUAACGAUUUACUGACGCAACAUAAACCCUGAGAGGCCCG